RNAcentral lists this unclassified non-coding RNA (160 nucleotides) under uncultured Phomopsis. RNAcentral's name for it is "sequence contains ITS2". The record is from RNAcentral. Lineage: Eukaryota; Fungi; Ascomycota; Sordariomycetes; Diaporthales; Cytosporaceae.
CAACCCUCAAGCAUUGCUUGGUGUUGGGGCACUGCUUUUUUACCGAAAAGCAGGCCCUGAAAUCUAGUGGCGAGCUCGCCAGGACCCCGAGCGCAGUAGUUAAACCCUCGCUCUGGAAGGCCCUGGCGGUGCCCUGCCGUUAAACCCCCAACUUCUGAAA